Lepidothrix coronata (blue-crowned manakin) is the source of this 9460-nucleotide RNA transcript. It is a transcript of the gene named kinase non-catalytic C-lobe domain containing 1, with no coding region annotated. The transcript has 32 exons. The record is from RefSeq and is a predicted model, not a curated record. Lineage: Eukaryota; Metazoa; Chordata; Aves; Passeriformes; Pipridae.
GGAAUGAGCCGCGGCGGGGGCCGAGGGCCGUGCUCCGGGUGCAUAGGGAGGCUGCGGAGGUGAAGCCUCUGCUCCCUCGCCCGGCGGGAUGGAGGCUCUUGAUGCCGCAGAGGACGUGUUUUAUGAGGAGGAGGAGGAGGAGGUGAACUGCUACGAUUUCGAGCCUCUGCCGACGCUGCUGGAGGAUGAGGAGAAUGUGUCCCUUGCUGAUAUUUUGUCACUGCGGGAUAGCUCUCUUACUGAGCAAGAUAUUUGGGCAAUUUGCCUGGAGUGUUGCCAUUCUCUGAAGAGCAUUGCCCAUUCUGCAAUCUUCCAGACACUCUGCAUCACUCCUGACACUUUGGCUUUUAACACCAAUGGCAAUGUAUGCUUCAUGGAACAGCUCAGUGAUGAUCCAGAGGGUGCCUUUGUUCCACCAGAAUUCGAUAUCACCGGUAACACUUUUGAGGCACACAUCUACUCUUUGGGUGCAACACUGAAAGCAGCCAUAGAAUAUAUAGUAGAACCUGAGACAGAAUCAGAAUUUGGCCGAGAUCUGCACACUCUGCUGGAACAAAUGCAAGAAGAGAAUCCUGAAAAUAGGCCAGAUAUUGAGAGUAUUUUGUCAUUAUGUGAAGAAAAAAUGAAGAUUGCUUCAUCAAGUAAUAUUUGUCGAAGUCUGUCUGCUGUUGGAAGAAGAGUUCUUUCAAUUGAAUCAUUUGGUGCUUCUCAAGAUGUCUGUGAUAACAUGUGGAAGGGAAGAAUGUGUCAGAGAAGCUUGGGAUCUAAAUUGUAUUCAAAUGAGAAAAGCAACAUAGCAGGUGAUUCGUCUGCAGUGGAAGAUGUGACGACUACCUGUCAUAACAGCUCUUCUGUAGUUACCAUGGUGACUGCCAGAGAAAGUGGUUUAAAGGAAACGCAAAUUGAUCUGGAUAAUGACCAAACUCAACAUUCUCACCUUGCAACUCAAACUAAAAAGAGCAAAGAAGAGGAUAAACAUGCAAUGUAUGCUGACAGCUUUGCUAGUGUUGCUUUGGAUAUAAAAUCAUGUGUUAUUGACCUGGAGAGAGAUGGCAUUUUUAAGAAAGGUUCUUUGAGAAAAAUUAAAACCUUUCCAAAGCUACCACUUGAACCUGCAGAUACAAAUAACUUUUUUACUUCUGUAACCAACAGUGGACCACCAGCUAGGAAAAAUAACUUCCUAACACAAGAGUUACUACCUCUAGACAAUAAUAAUGAGGUUGCUUUUUCAAAGGGAAAUCUUAAUUCAUUUGCUAUUAGUAGUCCACCAGAAACAGAACCAAAGAAUCACCAGGUUGAUGAUCGUCAUUUAGAAGCUCCGUGUGUAUGCACACAGGUGUCUGGCUUGAAUCUAGAAGAACAUGUGUCACUUAUUAAUAGUAAAAAGAUAGGUUUUGCUUCAUCUGAUCACAAAGAAGACUGUUCUGGUGCUACCUGUCAAAUGCUAAAACCAGCUGGUAUGCUAAAAGGCCCAAAUCAGUCAAUUGCUGGAGCAAAAAUGCUAGACAAUUACCUGGCAUUGGAAGACUCUUCUGAAACUUUUCAAGGGUCAAAUGAAAAUUAUGUACCACAUUUUAACAAGAUGGAUUCAGUGUUAACAACAAAACCCCGUGGGAACAGACAUGGAUCAAACCUAAUUAGGUCGCCAGAAUUAAGCAACGGUGCAAUGAGUGCAAACAAUAAUGAAGAUAAUCUUUGUGGAGGCAGAGGUUCAGAAAUCAAAAGUAAUGAGCAGUGGAUCUCUCUAAAACUUCUGUUGUCCUCAUAUGGAAGACCUCUGAAAGAUUAUGAACUCUGGGCAUUAUGUCAUGAGUGUUUAUGUGCUCUACAGACUUGCAUAGAUUAUCCAGUGGUCUUAUGUUUGGACUCCGUGCUGAUUGACUACCAUGGAAAUAUCCUCUUUUCUGCUCCAAAAGGUGAAGAAUCUUGUGAUGUGUUUUAUUUAGCUCCUGAAAUUGAAGAAGAGGAUGUAGAUACUGAGAAGGUCUGCAUUUAUGGUGUUGCUGCAGUUCUAUGGAUGGCUGCAAAAUACAGUGUUCCACCAAGUCAUAAACUAGUAUUGCCAAGAAAAUUAAAAAAACUACUUCUGGAUAUGGCAAGAAAAAACCCUGAUGAAAGACCUUCUGUAGCUGCUGCAAUUAAGACAUGCAGUCAUUAUUUACUUGAACAAGGUAUAGACAGCAAAAAUAUUUUGAUCUUAUUGAGUAAAUCUGUCUUUGAGGCUGUUAAGGAAGAAGUCUUGUCCCAAGAUCAGCUUGCUUUUGAAUUUAAAAAUGAAAAACAUGAAAUGGAAAUGGACUCUUCAGAGUCAAGUCUAGGAUUUGUGCCUUUUACCAGUGAAAGUAAACUUGUAGCAGUUAAAGGACCAGUACCAUGCCAGAUUUCACUAAAUUGUGAGAAAGCUAGAUUACCUGUUGCAUUCACCUCUCCUGCAACUCACUUUAAGCCUAUUAUUCUGCAACAAGAUGCAAAUCUAACAAAAGAGGUUCAUGCACCAGUUUCUGAGCAAUUCAAGAAAGAGAAAAGAAAAGAAGACCAUAUGGACCACAACAACUCAGGAUAUGUAGAAGACUCUAAACGCUGUGGUAUUGAGUACACAGAUGUUGUUGAAACUGCACCUGAAACAUCUGAGUGUGAUUUACAAGUUCCAGGCCACUCAUUCCAGUUAUCCUCAGAAGAGCAAAAAUCAGUCAAUAUGUUUACUUCUUCAGUUACAUUACCAUCACCAUCAGAUUCCUCACAUAUUCUACAAGGAAAAAGCAUUUUAUCUGAAGAUCCUUCCAGCUCCUUAGCUUGUCCUACGUCUCCUAAUUUUCUUCAUAUAAAUAACAUAAUUCUCAAACAGGACUCAGAGAAAAGAGUGUUGACAUUUGUACCGGUACAUUUAGCUGUAUCAGAGCAAAUACAAAAUAAGCCUCUUCGUUCCAGAAUUGCUUAUGAUUGUUAUCAUAGUUUGCCAGUGUUACUUUCAAGUACUAUUGCAAGUUAUAAAAUGAGCAUGCAAACAGAAGAUGCUUCCCUUGGUAAUGUGCAAAGUCAUGAGACUACUGACACACAGAACAAGUUUGAUAAAAGAAGCCCAGUUAUUCAAACCAACUGCCAAGAAACUGAGUGUGCUACCAGUGUAGACAGUAUUUUCACUGAACAAGAACACACACCAUGUACCUCAGUGAAUAAAGACAAUUAUAAUUUCUUUGAUGAUAAAGUCCUACCCCAUCAGAACAGAACAAGUGAUGCUUUACUUCAGAAAGUGAUUCAUCUUAUACAAGAGGAGUUUGCAUUUGAUGGCUAUCUAGAGAAUGGAGCUGAAGUUUUUGAUAUGGGUAACUUCAUUUUAAACUUAAAGGAAAUUAAGUUUGGUGUGUUCUCUGAUAGAAUUUGUGAGAAGUUUUGUGACCUAUACUGGGAUGAAAAAUUACUGGAGAAUCUCUAUCAGGUAGUAAAUGGAGAAAGAUCUUCACACUUAUGCAUAACUGAGGCAAGUGAUGCAAAAUGUGGCAAUAUAUUCCAAGAUCGGAACAAAUCCGAAAGCUUUUUGGCAAGCAGUGACCAGACAGAGGAAAAAGAGGAAGCAAAUCUUGAUGUGAAGGCUGAGCCUCUGAUAAAUACAUCAUUAGUUGAAAUGGAUUUUGAUGAGUCACCUUCAGACAAUAUCAAAAAAGAAUUGAGACUGCAGAGUACUAUCCCCAUAGAGAAAGAGGGACAACGUCUACAGAGCAACAGCUGUUAUAUUGGUCCAGACUUUGCAGAAGAAAAUACAAGGCCAGAGGAAGAGGCCACGAUAAAGAUAGCUGGAAACAGCUACCUGGCAUCUCCCAGUCUACCUGACUUUAAUGGCUGUAGUCCUGGUUGGAGCAGUGCCUUUUAUGGAGCUGAAUGUUUUGAUGCAGAAGUUCAUAGUUACUUGAAAAACCUUGGAAAGCAGAAAUCAAGUGAGUCACAAAAUAUAGAUGCUAAAAAAGUGGAACUAGAACAAUUGCUAAUGAUGGAAACAAAAAAUUACAGAAAGACUAUAAAGUUUUACCAGAAACUAUUGCAGAAAGAAAGAAGAAGCAAAGGUCCUGAAACUAAAUCUAUGUUGCCCAAAUUGAGAGGACAGCUACAGGAAAUGAAAUCAAAAGUGCAGUUUCUUGAACUGGUAAAGAAAUAUGUUCAGAUGAUGUAUGCAGAGCAGUGGGGUGUGGAAUCCUGUGUGCUGCCUACGGUAAUUCACAACGGGAAAACUGACACCAUGGACACGGCACCUGUGGAUGAAUCAUCAUUGCUUCUUUACUAUAACACAGAGAAACACCAGUGUAAUAAUCAAAAUGGAGUGAGAGUUCUGCAGGCUGGUACACCACUUGGUUUAAUGGCUUAUUUAUAUUCUAGAAAUGCAUUUUUAGAAGGUUAUGUACAGCAGUUUCUCUACACAUUUCGCUAUUUCUGCACACAAGAAGAGUUUUUGCAGUUUCUUCUUGAUAGAAUCAGCAGCACUUUAUCCAGUGCAAGCCUGGAUCCUUCCACAUCACUUACCAAAAUAUGUAACCGCAGUUUCUACAUCCUGCAGGCUUGGAUUGAAGACUGCUAUAGUGUAGACUUUGCAACAAAUACUGGUCUUCUGUGUACCCUAAAAGAAUUUAUUUCUUCCAAGGUUGCUUCAUUAAAUGGCUAUGGUGAGAGAUUGUUGUCAUUGCUUGAGGAUGCUUCUGCCAGGAAAAGUGGCAGUGCUGAUCAGUGCUCCAGCAUGGACAAAUGUGAAGAGGAAGGUGAGGAGGGCAGAAAAACAUUACAUUCCCUAUGUAAAAAGCUCUCAGAAGACGUUUCCAGAAAGAACUUCUACUGGAAACUAUCCAAAGGUGUGGGACCAAUUGCACAAUAUCAGAGAGAGCGACUGCACACCAGUUCACCAGUUUCACCAAAACUAUGCAAUUUAACAGAAGCUAAAGGGGAUGCAGUGGAACCAUAUCUCUUAACAGAGUACAGUGCACAACAGCUUUGUUGGCAGCUGACAUUACUGCAGCAGGAAGUAUUUCUUAAGUGUCAUCCAGUACACUUUCUAAAUUCAAGAGCACUUGGUGUUAAAGACAAAUGUGUUGCUGUGCAAAAGGCAGUUUCUACUGAGACAGUUUCACUUAAAGUCUGUAAUCUGUUUCUGUCGAAGUGCAUACAAGACCAGUAUCUUCUGCAAUUGUUAAGAAAUGCAGACAGUAUCAGCACCUGGGUUGCUGCUGAAAUUGUAACAUGUCACACAACUAAGCGGCAGGUGAGCUUGCUGUCAAAAUUUCUUCUUAUAGCAAAAUGCUGCUACGAACAAAGAAAUUUUGCCACUGCAAUGCAAAUCCUAGCAGGCUUGGAAAAUCUUAUUGUACGACAGUUACCAGCCUGGAAAAUUUUACCUGCAAAAGUAGCUGAGAUAAUGGAGGAACUCAAAGCUGUUGAGGUGUUUUUAAAAAGUGACAGCUUAUGCUUGAUGGAAGGAGACAGAUUCAAAACUCUUCCAACAAUUCCAUCAGCCCAUGUUUUGGCUAUGCACGUCCAACAGCUUGAAACUGGAGGAUUUACAAUGACAAAUGGAGCUCACAAGUGGACUAAACUUAGAAAUAUUGCAAAAGUUGUGAGCCAAGUUCAUGCGUUUCAAGAGAAUCCUUAUACAUAUACACCAGAUUUCAAGCUGCAGUCUUACCUCAGACAAAGAAUAACUCGUUUUAAAGAUGCAGACAUUUCUGCCUUGGCAGCUGACAACUGUGCCAACUUCCACCAGAUACCAGCAGAAAGACAUUCUCGAAAAAUUCAGGACACACUGCGCAGGAUGAAAGCAACAUUUCAGUAAUUAUUUAUGUUUCGUCUGUUCUAUUCCAAGUCUUGACUGUAAAACUGGAUUAAGUUGACUUCAUUUACUGGACCAAUUCCCAAGAAAAUACUUAAGAGAAGUGACUUAAAGUACCAUCUCAAGUUGAAAUUAUUAUAUUUCUUAACAUGGAAUUAUGAAAUGCUGACUAAUCAGAUUUGAAUCACAGAUCAGAAGAAUAAAAAUAGACAUAAAAGUAAAGAGAGUAUAGGUGAAAAGGAGUAUUACUUUUGUCACUGUUCUUUAGCAUAAAUAAAUAAUUAGCCUGAAAACAAGUAUCUAAAAAAUACUGUGAAAAUAAGUUAAAAUUACACUUCUGUUAAAAAGUUGAACCAGGAGAGUUCAGAGUAUAGUUCAUUAAAUGUUGAAUAUAUUUUUAUAUAGACAUAGUACAAUUAUAUUCUGUCACAGUGUGCAUUUAAUUCAUGGACACAGAUCUUCUGUUAUUCAUUGACUGUUGGUGUGUCUUGCUUUUAUGUUGAGUAUUAUGAAAACUACUGACUUAAAUAAUUGACUGUCUAUUUCUUGAAGCAUACUAAGGAAGGAGAAGAAUGCUAUCCUUCAACUUUUUUUUCUGUUUUUUUGGCUUUAAUGUCAUUAGACUAACCUAUUUCCAAAUGAAAGUAAGAUCUGAAUCCAAGUAAUACCAGUUUGUUGCUCUGCUUCUGCACUCAUGGCAUUGUGAAGACAGUAAAUGUGAAAUUGUUUUUUUAAUCUGUAUUUGGCAUAAGAGUCACUUUGCCAAUUUGUGUAUGUCUGUAUGUGUGCACAUUUGACUACGGCUUUUGCUUCUGAGGUUGCUUUUGUAGUUGCAGCACUCCAGCAGCAUUUAAUAGAAGAUAACUGUGUGAAAUUUGGAUCUGCAACUUGUAAAACUUUGGUGCUAACCUAGUCAUAGAGCUUGUAAGACCUUUUAAAUGGCAAUGGAAUGGGUUGCUAUUGCUAAAAAAUUUGUUGAGCUACCCAGGUUUAUGCAGAGCCAAAAUGUUAAGGCUAUAAAGUGGUUGCAAAUACAAGUAUUUCUACCAGAGGGAACAAUGGUAGUGUUGAAAGAGAGGUAGGGAAGGGCAAAAAACAACAAAAAACCCUCCAAAAUAAACUGUCCUGAGAGUGAUUUGCAUAGAACUGUGUUUAAAAACUUAAAAAGAAAAUAUUUUCAGAGAUGGGCAGAUAUGAACUAAGUGUCUUGUCAUGUGUUAGUGAUGGAGAAGCAUAACAAUGUUAGAAAUGGGAAUGUGCACAUGUGUAGUAUUUUGCAAAUUUUACUGUUGUAUUUGACAGAAGUGCAUGUGCACAUGUUAAAUUGUAGCUUUCUCAAUGUUUAAGAGGAAAGCAUCUCCUUUUCUCUUGUCAAUAACAGCAAUAUAUACAUCACAGGCCUCUCUCAUCUUUCUGAGUAAAAACAAGGUAUGUCAAUGCUUUCCAUUAGAUACCUCAGUUACUUUGCCAUACUAAUACAAUGAUACUGACUUUUGUCUCUUAUUUGUUUAAAUACUGGAGAUCUCAGUCCUCAACAGGGUUUUCUUGCGUUUGUUCUACUUUUAAUACGAUUUAUUUUGUUAUUUAUCAUAUGUAGGUUUAGCAUGUCAUUAAUAACAGUGUUCUGACUUAUCCUUAAGGAAGUAAAUUGUGUUGCUAUUUCUCUAAAAAUUGCCAAAUGUGAAAUCAUUUAGUCUUUAUCUCCUAUCUUUAUAUAAUACAAUUAUUUAAGAAUGUCAAUUACAACCUUAUUUCCAGACAUAUUUCAUAUAUUUUAUCUAUGUGCAUUUAUUUUAAAUAAUUGUUUUUAUUAGUAGUUUGGUUUUCUCUCAAUUAAACAUUACCAUUCACUUAAAGCCACGCCUUGCCUUUGAAAGACAGUGAAAUUUUAAGUAGCAUAAGCUUUACUAAUGUAAAGAACUCCACAAAACUUGCAUCACAUGAUCUUAAUAAAUGCAUUUUAUAUAGUUACUGGUCAGACUGUUGAAGUUGCUUUUGUGGAUUUUCUUACCAUUCACAUUUUGCACUCAUGAGAAUUAAUUCAUAUAUUUCUUACAGUUUUUAUCAGGAUAUAAAGCAACUACUAUAUCUACAAAAUAUUAUGUUUAUUCCAUGACAAUAACUGGUGCUAUACAAGAAUUUGAAAAUCAUCUCAUAUCUUCUGUAUAACGCUUUGGUGUAUCAGACCUUAUAUUGCUAUUUAUGCAUAGUAUUGAGUUAUGGUACUACUUUGGGGUAUUCUCAUCCAUCAGACAUUUUAGAUUUUGUAUUUAGGCACCACCCCACAACAACAACAGCAACAAAUAUAAAUAGCUAUUGGAAAAAAAAAAUCACUCCUUUACAAGGAAACUCGUUUAUUUUUGUUCAUGAACACUGGUGUAUGCACAUCUUGUAUGACACAGAUUUCAGAAUAAAGUUACGUCUAGCAUAUAACUGUACUGCUUAUUUAUGACUAACAAAUAGUAAGAGUUGGACUAAAGUUUUCUCUCUUUGUAGGUAAUGUCCUUUUAAAAGAAAAACCACGACAAAACACGUCAAAGAAUAAGUUCAGUUCUACCUAAUUGGCAAAAUAUUAUUGGCAUCAAGUAACUGUAUUGCAUAAAUUGUAUGCAGUCUGGCCCCAUGCUUCCAUUCCAAUACCAAACUGGAAUUUUGGGGGGAAAAAAUGGAAUUUUUUCUUUAAGCCAGAAUUGCCACCAGCUAUCUUAGCUCUUCUUCAUUUUUUCUGCAUUUCCCUGAUCUUGUUUUUGUGCUUAUUUUUCAAACAGUGACUCGUGGAGUUCUGAAAUGAAGUCUGCUCCUUGGGAAUCUUCCCAGUUGUUCUGUGUAUUGGUGCUUUUUGUGUGUCCCUUUGCAGGUGUCUGUCCCCAGGAUCCCUUGGGUUUUAAGGCCUCCUGCCAGAGAGCUGGAAAGUGUGUCCUAGUUAUACUAGCUCCAUUUGAAAUCAGGUUUCCAGCUCUAACACCUCCAGAAGCCUGCCAGGAAACAGGGAUUAAUUAAUUUGGAUCCUAUUAAUUAUUCUGUUGAAUCCCAAACAAAGAAGCUGGGAAAUCAACUUGGAUUCAUGAUUCUGACAAAUUUCUUUCUGUGGAAAACUUCCAACCACUUCUAGACUUUGCUUUAUGUAUUGGAUUGGUUUCAUAAGCAUUGCUGAGACUCAUCACUUCUGUGCUGCUGUCUGAAUUCCGAGAUCCACAGAUGUUCUACAGCUUGGCAGCCAUGCAGAUGUGGGGGAAGUAAACUAUCCUGGCUUACUGUAACGAGUAAUUUCCUGGAUGUGAAGUCUCAAUAUAACCAGGAGGUGGCACAAGAGACCCUUUGCAGACUUUCAGAUGUACGUGUAGCGCACUGUGAGCAAAGGUAACGUGAAAAACAGUCUUCCGGACGUCUGCCUUAAAUCUGCCCAUUAGAAACAUCCAAACACAAAAUGGCAGGGUUUGUUUUUUGGUUUUGUUUUUUUUUUUUUUUAAAUGUGUUUUAAAACGAACGUAUAUUUGCGUUCGGCAUUCAACUGCUCCCUUUAAUCUUUUAGAGAACACGCAAACACAGCUUCAUAAUUUUAUAUCUCAAUUACCCUCUGUGUAAUGCACUCAUUCCUGUAAACCUGGCAAAAGAUGUACGCUGCAUUGCUCGGAGGAAACUUAGACGUCAAAU